CUUAGUGGCAGACGGGUGAGUAACAUGUGGGUAUCUACCCUUUGGCCUGGAAUAACACGAGGAAACUUGUGCUAAUACCGGAUAAGUCUUUACGGAGAAAGCUUUAUGCACCAUUGGAUGAGCCCGCACUUGAUUAGUUUGUUGGUAGGGUAAUGGCCUACCAGGACUAUGAUCAAUAGCUGAUUUGAGAGGAUGAUCAGCCACAUUGGGACUGAGACACGGCCCAAACUCCUACGGGAGGCAGCAGUGGGGAAUCUUGCACAAUGGAGGAAACUCUGAUGCAGCGAUGCCGCGUGAGUGAAGAAGGCCUUUGGGUUGUAAAGCUCUUUCGUCGGGGAAGAAAAUGACUGUACCCGAAUAAGAAGGUCCGGCUAACUUCGUGCCAGCAGCCGCGGUAAUACGAAGGGACCUAGCGUAGUUCGGAAUUACUGGGCUUAAAGAGUUCGUAGGUGGUUGAAAAAGUUGGUGGUGAAAUCCCAGAGCUUAACUCUGGAACUGCCAUCAAAACUUUUCAGCUAGAGUAUGAUAGAGGAAAGCAGAAUUUCUAGUG
This 550-nucleotide ribosomal RNA is filed under the name uncultured Pelagibacterales bacterium. Its description in RNAcentral is "bacterial SSU rRNA". It matches the Rfam family "Bacterial small subunit ribosomal RNA", at positions 91 to 675 of the family's 1533-position model. The record is from RNAcentral. Lineage: Bacteria; Pseudomonadati; Pseudomonadota; Alphaproteobacteria; Candidatus Pelagibacterales.